GCUGGAGGGCGGCCGCGUGCGGCUGCGCCGUGAGACUCGGAGUGCUGCCCGGGGAGAGAAGGUCUGUUUCCUCCCGCUGCUAAACCCGGCUCCUAGGAACUCAGGGCUUCAGACAAGCUGUGGUCAUCAGUGUAGUGUCCAGAAAGUUCUGUGGCCCACAUGCCUGCAGAGGACGGCUGAGAAGAGACUGCAUGAACUCUCACUGACUCAGUAACUUUAGGUGUUUCCCAUGAACAAGGUGCUUGGCAGGCACUACUGGAGCAUAACGGGUGUGAACAGGCCCCAGCACCGCGCACUGGGUUUAUUUCCUCUGAGCCACUGUCGGGAGUCCUUAAGCCCUCUUCUAGAGAUAUCUUGGGCUAGCAUGUAGCUCCAUGCACAGCGCUAACAGGCUCCUGGGGUCCAUCGCCAGCACAGAGACACCUUUCCCUAAUCUGCCCCACACCUUUCCCUAAUUCCUAAGUACUCCCGUCUAAAGCCUCUGGGCCAGACGGUCACUGUGUGCUUCACCCAUUCAACAGGAAGCUCUGGCAUAGUUAGGGGGUGGGGUUACUCUGACCUGACCCCAGAAUGUGACUGAACUUCACAACCAUUCUAUAGCCUUCACCUUGCCAGGAAAUAUGCCUCCUCAGUGAGAGAGCGUGACAGUGGACCCACAAAGUACUCAGGUCAACAGGGAAGAUGCACUGCUGCAAAUAACAGCAUUGGACUUGGUUUUGAGAGAAGAGCUUGUGUAGCUCAGGUUGACUUUGAACUUGUUACGUAGCUGAGGAUAAUCUUGAACCUGCUUCUACUUCCCAAAUGCUGGGGAUAUAGGCACAAACCACUACAUCCAACUGAACUUCCUGCUGUUUAUUAUUAACUAUUAUGAGAUUACUCAAUUCAGAAAAAUAGAAGAUCCCACCCUGCAGUGGAGCACAGAAGACUCGUGCUGGGCACACAGGUACCUGAGGUCUCUAUAGCGUCGCCUGUCUCUCACCCAGGACCUGCAGCCUGAGCGGUGGUCAGGAGUCAGCCGGCAUCCAGCCUGGCACUACCUACUCCCUCCCUGCUGGUGGGGCCAAGAUGGCUGCUGCGCAGCCUAUGGUAUGGGCAGUAGUACUGCUCCCUAGGGUGGUCAGGCUCAGCCUGUAACCUUAACAUGGCAGUGAGGGCAGAAGUGUCCGGCAGACGAUAAGAAGAGUACUGGUCCCUGGAUGGAGGGUCAGCGAGACAAAAGUCUUAGCGCAGACUGCAGGGACUUCCUUAGGAAGGUGGUGUUGGGCUCUAGGACCAAGGCCAGGUGCAGCCUCUGGGGCUCUGUGAUCUGGGGAGAAGAAGGAACAGGGUCAGGACUCCCACUUCGUGUCUUCCCAUCUCCUCUUCACUCCAUGGCCUCUGUUUAUGAUGGAGAGAGUAUACAGGGUACACAGAGCAGGGGGAUGCUCCUGAGAAAGCAAACCUUACUUCACCACAGUUAAGCAAGCAAGCACAGAGUUAGAAGACUCUAGAACCAAAUACCAGGUGUGCAACCUACACCAGUUACACUGCUGCUAGCUGGUGAUCUCAGCGUGCUGGCCGCGGGGUGGCACUUCACAGGCAUGACUCUCCCGUCCUCCAGCACUCAGGUAGGAGACAGGCUCAGACGUCCCACUGUCCUGCCGCCUUCCUGUAGACCAUGCCUUUCUGACCUGUGGCUGCACUUCCUGAGGGGGUUUCAGACCCGUCAGUCUAGGAGCCCCACUGCCCACAGAAGACUGGCUUAUCUACAACGUACUUGUGAUCAGGUCACUCCCCAGCUAAAGGCCGAGAGAGACGCCCAAUUCCAGACUCCACAGUGGGGCUCUGAUGCUGAAGAAAAGGGUGAAAUGCCAAUAGCCAAUCACCCUGUGCCUUCAUGACAAAGCUAUAGCUUCCAGUCCAUAACCCAUGGGGCCUCAAACAUGUUGCUAGUUGUGGUAGUGUGGGUUUGGGCAAGUUACCCUAACCUCUGAUUCUCUAAUGGGAACUGCUGGACACUGAUGCAGGACAACAGUUCCAGCUCUGCAGGAAGCGAGCAGCCUUGCUGAACGGGAGCAGUGCACAAGACCCUGCCUCCAAGUGGAAGGCAAGAGCUGACACCUGAAAGUUACCUGACCUCUACACACACCACGGCAUGGGUGUCCCGGCACUCACAUGCAUGAAUGUGUACAUGUACACACCAAAACAAAGUGCAUCCCUGCCACCGUGAGCUCCCACAAUGAACGACUUGCAGAUCCUGACAUUCUCUGCUCCGCUGCAGCCGUUGCCAGCGAUGUCCAACUCCAGCUCUUGGCUACCAUCCCUGGUGGUUUCUUUUUUAGGGUGGGGGGCUCUCAUGUAGCCCAGACUAGCCUUUAACUCCCACUCCUUUUGUAUUUUUGGUUAUUAUUUGAGACAUUUUCACUAUGUAUCCUAGGCUGGCUUUGUACUUACUUACAGCAAUCCUCCUGCCUUAGCUAUCCACGAACUAGAAUUUCAAGUAUACAGUACCAUGGCUGGCACCAUUCAUCCUUUGAGAGGCAGAAGCCAGCCCCUUUCCCGACUUUAAACAAGGCUUGGCUGCCCCUUCCCCCAGGUUGGCUGGCUCCCACCAGAUAUCACACUGAACUGCUCCCUUGUCUUUCCCAUCUCCCCAACUUGGGGCUGCCUUAUGGUCACUCUUGAUUGCUCAGUGCCCCAUAUAAUGCCAAGGCCAAAGAGGUGCUGGCUGAAUGAACCCUUAAAACAACCCCAACCCUAGCUCCAGGCACGCACUCCUGGUCUCCCUGGCAAGCAUAGCUGCUUGCUUUCACCCACACUUACGCUGGCCUGGUAUUUGGUCAUCACUGUCAUCAUGAGCUUGGCAUAGGCCACAGAGGCUGAGGCUGCCAGCCCCUCCUCACAGAGCUUCUCCAUCAAGACACCAAACGUCGCAGGGCUCAUCUCCACCUGCACAAGGAGAUGCGCAGUGUCACAAGAAAGGCCAACCCUGGAUCUGACCUCAACCACCACUGCCUAGCAGGAAGCUCCACCAAGCGCUGCAGUUUGGAUCUAGAAUGUCUCCCGAGGAGCCAUGUGCUAAAGGUCUGGUCCCCAGCGUGGUAGUGGAGCCUUUAUCUGGACCUGGGGGAAGAAGUGAGGUGACUGGAGGUGUGCCCUCAAAAGGGAUAUUGGGACUGUGACCCCUCCCCCUUGUUUUUUCCAGGUAGGGUCUCAAUAAUUUACUUACUAGCCUGGCGUGGUGGCGCACACCUUUAAUCCCAGCACUUGGGAGGCAGAAGUUGGAGGACUGCUGUGAGUUCAAGGCUACCCUGAGACUACAAAGUGAUUUCCAGGCCAGCUCCAGGACCUGCCUGCACAGAGGACACCAGUGAGAAAGGCCCAGGCUUCCACCCACGCCAGGUCUCCUGCCACUCCCUGUGGGGCCAGGCCUGCACGGCCAGCUCCCUGCCAACAGAGACUCAGACUGAACAGUGGCCCGGGAGAGCGGUUCCCAGCGGGGCACCUCUCCAUCCCCGGGAGCCCGCCAGGAAGGAUCUGGCGUGCAACACACACGCCAGAAGAAGCAAGGGCUGCAAGUACUCCGAGAAGCACAGUGGAAGGGACAUGGAGAACGGGGAGCCGCAGGUGCAGUGGGGGACCCCUAGGCAGGUGAUGGCCCCGCAGAGCCUGACUCAGACAGGUGUCCUCCCAGUUGCACUCCCUGCUCCCCUGCAGACUUCCCUUGUCCUAAAAGGCCCGUGUCACAGUGGAAACGGGCUUGCUGAAUGGGGAGAUGUUGGGAGCUAUGAACCAAACCUUGGCCAUGUUAACAGAAACUGCCAUACAGCAAGUGAAGUUUCUACUUCCUCACCUAAUACUCAACUACCAGAAACAAUGGGAUCAUACACCAGGC
Jaculus jaculus (lesser Egyptian jerboa) is the source of this 3874-nucleotide long non-coding RNA. RefSeq lists it as uncharacterized. Lineage: Eukaryota; Metazoa; Chordata; Mammalia; Rodentia; Dipodidae. The record is from RefSeq and is a predicted model, not a curated record. The transcript has 3 exons.